Molecule: ribosomal RNA, 1332 nt
Filed under: Triticum aestivum (bread wheat)
Lineage: Eukaryota; Viridiplantae; Streptophyta; Magnoliopsida; Poales; Poaceae
Description: partial small subunit ribosomal RNA
Source: RNAcentral
AUGUGCAGUUAUGGCGGUGGCGACGUCGAUGACUGGUAUGAUGAUUCUGAUACGGAUGACCACGCCGAAGACACGGGCGAUGACAGGCACCAUGAGCAAGGAGCAAAGAACUCCGAUUUAGACCUGGAUGAUGAAGAUCGGACCUUUUUGAGUCAGUUUCCAGAUACUUGGGGGGCAGCGCCCACAAGAAAAGAAAAAGACAUCCAAGGAAUACAAUGGAAGAGGCUGGAUAUCACACGUGAACAGUACAGACAGACCAGGUUGCAGCAGUACAAAAACUACGAGAGCAUUCCUAAUUCUGGAGAAGAAGCAGCCGAGGAAUGCAAACAGACUGAGAAAGACGGAAUGUAUUACGAAUUCAGAAAAAAUACUAGAUCUGUAAAAUCAACUAUACUACAUUUCCAGCUGAGAAAUUUAGUAUGGGCCACAUCCAAGCAUGAUGUCUACCUGAUGUAUCAUUACUCAGUCCUUCACUGGUCUGCAUUGAGUGGUGUGGAUACUGAACUUAUGAACGUCCGUGGUCAUGUGGCACCAAAGGAGAAGCACCCAGGAAGUCUAUUAGAGGGGUUUUCUCAGACUAAGGUUAGUACCAUGGCAGUGAAGGACAAUUUGCUGGUAGCUGGUGGAUUUCAAGGGGAGCUAAUCUGCAAGCACCUUGAUCGAGAGGGGAUAAGCUUUUGUUGUCGAACAUCACAUGAUGAUAAUGCUAUGACUAAUGCAAUUGAGAUAUUCAAUACUUCUAGUGGCGCUGUUCAUUUCAUGGCAUCGAGUAAUGACAACGGUGUAAGAGACUAUGACAUGGAGAGAUUCCAGUUGUGCAAUCACUUUCAGUUUGAUUGUCCAGUGAAUCAUACAUCGCUGAGUCCCGACAGAAAGCUUGUUCUCGCCGUGGGGGACCAUCCUGAUGGUUUACUUGUUGAUGCGAAUUCAGGAGAGACGCUUCAUUCCAUGAAAGGCCAUCACGACUACUCUUUCGCAUCGGCCUGGAGCCCUGAUGGACGAACAUUCGCUACCGGGAACCAAGACAAGACAUGCCGAGUCUGGGACAUUAGAAACCUGUCGAAAGCCGUCCAUGUACUGAAGGGCAACCUUGGGGCCAUUAGGUCGAUCCGCUUCACUUCUGACGGGCAGUUCCUGGCGAUGGCGGAACAUGCGGACUUCGUCCAGAUCUUCGACGCCCGGAGCGACUACACCAAAAGGCAAGAGCUGGACUUCUUUGGCGAGAUAUCUGGGAUCUCCUUCAGCCCGGAUAUGGACGCUCUUUUCGUCGGUGUGUGGGAUAGAACAUAUGGCAGCCUCCUCCAGUAUGGUCGUUUACAUAAUAACAACUAG